UUGCAAUGAUUACAUUCACUUGGACACCAUAAAUAUAAUGGUCUUAGCAUUGGUUGCAGUGAAGGUUUGUAAGAAAGAUUUCCCAAUGAAAGGAGACUUCUAGAGCUAGGAAAAGAUACCUUUUUUUUAAUAGAGCAGGAAGUAUUUUUUCCUCAUUUGAAAAUAAAGAAAGGAACAUAUAUUGUGGAUGCCUACAAUUGCAACAUUAAGUUCUCCUGAAAGCUGCCCCUGCACCCCGGAUCAUCCGUGAGGACACAGCUUUUCAGGUUUUUUGAAGUUUAUUUUUUGAAAUCUGAAAAUGAACCACCUGCCCUGUCGUACCUCAAUCCGAAGGCCUACGUGCAGAGGAGCAACGGCCAAAAGCUGCUGCUGCUACUGGGGACUUAGCAACUCCAGCCAUUUGAGGAAAAGGGAAGAGUAUUGUCACGUUCCCUCUGAGGAGACCCAUGAAACAGUUCCCUUAGAGGGAAUUUCCUCACCAGAAGGACCUCUGUUGAAAAGUUCCUCCAACUUAUCUCCCUCCAGUCAGCUUGUUACACCAACCUUUGUUUCUGACAAGCAGGGUGCCCACCUUCCACCCAGAACUCUGGCCACAGACAAUUGCUCUCAGGCAGUGCAUGAACAGGAGGCAGCAGCACAGUCAUUACAGGAAGAGGAUGUCUAACCAAAUACCAAUGGUACUAUCAGCCAAACCAUUGAUGGGAAUGUUGGGGGAAAAAAACAAAAUAAACAAAAAAAAAUAACAGAAGAAAGAGGAGAGAACUCUCUGGUCUUUGCUAAAUAAACUGAAUGGAAACAAUUUUGUUGAAGUCCUACAAUGGGACGUAAAAAGGGUAUAAAUAAAUAAAUUAUUAAUUAAAUGAAUGAAUGAAUGAAAUAAAAGAGCAGAAUAUUCGUUGUCUAUGGUCCUGGCUCAUCCUCUACAAAACAUGAUCAUCCAGUUUCAGCCUCGUACUAGGAAAGCAACAACCUUUGUCCAGACUAUGUUCUGUCAAAUGGAACCCUCCAUUACCCUCAGUGUUUGUACCAUGGAUGUUGACAAUUAAGAAUGGAAUGAUGAUUUAAUAUGGAAAAUAUUUUGCCCCCAAACUUAGACUUACUUAUGAUUUAGAGGUAAUAAAUUGUAAAUAUGUGGGGAAUUCA
Molecule: long non-coding RNA, 1143 nt
Organism: Monodelphis domestica (gray short-tailed opossum)
Lineage: Eukaryota; Metazoa; Chordata; Mammalia; Didelphimorphia; Didelphidae
Source: RefSeq, a predicted model, not a curated record